AUUGAACGCUGGCGGCAGGCCUAACACAUGCAAGUCGAGCGGUAGAGAGGUGCUUGCAUCUCUUGAGAGCGGCGGACGGGUGAGUAAUGCCUAGGAAUCUGCCUAGUGGUGGGGGAUAACGUUCGGAAACGGACGCUAAUACCGCAUACGUCCUACGGGAGAAAGCGGGGGAUCUUCGGACCUCGCGCCAUUAGAUGAGCCUAGGUCGGAUUAGCUAGUUGGUGAGGUAAUGGCUCACCAAAGGCGACGAUCCGUAACUGGUCUGAGAGGAUGAUCAGUCA
This 281-nucleotide ribosomal RNA is filed under the name uncultured bacterium. Its description in RNAcentral is "partial 16S ribosomal RNA". It matches the Rfam family "Bacterial small subunit ribosomal RNA", at positions 30 to 310 of the family's 1533-position model. The record is from RNAcentral.